CUACGGGUGGCUGCAGUGGGGAAUAUUGCACAAUGGGCGAAAGCCUGAUGCAGCAACGCCGCGUGAGCGAUGAAGGUCUUCGGAUCGUAAAGCUCUGUCCUUGGGGAAGAAACAAAUGACGGUACCCAUGGAGGAAGCCCCGGCUAACUACGUGCCAGCAGCCGCGGUAAUACGUAGGGGGCAAGCGUUAUCCGGAAUUAUUGGGCGUAAAGAGUGCGUAGGUGGUUACCUAAGCAGGGGGUGAAAGGCAAAAGCUUAACUAUUGUCAGCCCCCUGAACUGGGCUACUUGAGUGCAGGAGAGGAAAGCGGAAUUCCUAGUGUAGCGGUGAAAUGCGUAGAUAUUAGGAGGAACACCAGUGGCGAAGGCGGCUUUCUGGACUGUUACUGACACUGAGGCACGAAAGUGUGGGGAGCAAACAGGAUUAGAUACCCUAGUAGUC
RNAcentral lists this ribosomal RNA (441 nucleotides) under uncultured bacterium. Its description in RNAcentral is "partial 16S ribosomal RNA". It matches the Rfam family "Bacterial small subunit ribosomal RNA", at positions 339 to 795 of the family's 1533-position model. The record is from RNAcentral.